RNAcentral lists this ribosomal RNA (250 nucleotides) under uncultured prokaryote. RNAcentral's name for it is "partial 16S ribosomal RNA". It matches the Rfam family "Bacterial small subunit ribosomal RNA", at positions 524 to 773 of the family's 1533-position model. The record is from RNAcentral.
UACAUAGGGAGCGAGCGUUAUCCGGAUUUACUGGGUGUAAAGGGUGCGUAGGCGGUUAAGCAAGUCAGAUGUGAAAUGUAUGGGCUCAACCCAUGAACUGCAUUUGAAACUGCAUAACUUGAGUGAAGUAGAGGCAAGCGGAAUUCCCUGUGUAGCGGUGAAAUGCGUAGAGAUAGGGAGGAACACCAGUGGCGAAGGCGGCUUGCUGGGCUUUAACUGACGCUGAGGCACGAAAGCGUGGGUAGCAAAC